This is a long non-coding RNA of Melitaea cinxia (Glanville fritillary), 314 nucleotides long. RefSeq lists it as uncharacterized. NCBI's taxonomy places the organism in Eukaryota, Metazoa, Arthropoda, Insecta, Lepidoptera, Nymphalidae. The record is from RefSeq and is a predicted model, not a curated record. The transcript has 3 exons.
CGGUUUGACGGCCAAGGUCGAGGCCGCGCGAUUCUGCCGCGCGCCGCCGCGUCGGCAAGUCUCUUGUGUGCCCUCUUUCUCGAAACUAUUUCUAUAAGGGGUAAUGCGCAAUAAACGCCGCGAGUGCACCCUCUACACUACCCUGCCAUCGCCACAAAGGAAGCGCUGUUAUCUACCAUAUUUUAACGAAAAAAAAAAAAUCAAGAUGGACAAGGAAAUGGCGGCUGUGGAGAUAUGAAGACAAAUUGUAACUGCGAUUAAUGAAAACUAAAUUAAUAUGUAUGUUUAGAUUCAUUAAAAUUAAUAAUAUCGUA